GUUAGCCAGAUGACCGCAGGUCACAUGUGAUGUGUGGCGUGAGGAAAGUCCGGGCUCCACAGAACAGGGUGCCGGCGAAACACCGGUGGAGGCGACUCUAAGGAAAGUGCAACAGAAAUAAACCGCCAAAAACUGAUUUUUGGCAAGGAUGGAAAGGUGGUGUAAGAGACCACCGACCCGCUGGUGACAGCGAGUGCUCUGCAAACCCCACCUGGAGCAAGAUUAAAAGAAACAAUGGGUUGUUCGUCCGUUUCUUAAAAGUAUCGCUUGAGCAUGUUGGAAACUUCAUGCCUAGAUAGAUGGUCAUCAAAUACAGAACUCGGCUUAUAGACUAACUAA
This 339-nucleotide RNase P RNA is filed under the name human gut metagenome. RNAcentral's name for it is "Bacterial RNase P class A". It matches the Rfam family "Bacterial RNase P class A". Rfam says of the family: Ribonuclease P (RNase P) is a ubiquitous endoribonuclease, found in archaea, bacteria and eukarya as well as chloroplasts and mitochondria. The record is from RNAcentral.